GCGAAAGUGGCGAAAUUGGCAGACGCACCAGACUUAGGAUCUGGCGGGGAAACCCGUGGGGGUUCAAGUCCCCCCUUUCGCACCA
RNAcentral lists this transfer RNA (85 nucleotides) under Silvibacterium sp. Its description in RNAcentral is "tRNA-Leu". It matches the Rfam family "tRNA". Rfam says of the family: Transfer RNA (tRNA) molecules are approximately 80 nucleotides in length. Their secondary structure includes four short double-helical elements and three loops (D, anti-codon, and T loops). Lineage: Bacteria; Pseudomonadati; Acidobacteriota; Terriglobia; Terriglobales; Acidobacteriaceae. RNAcentral also lists the same sequence under 4 other names. The record is from RNAcentral.